This is a long non-coding RNA of Oreochromis niloticus (Nile tilapia), 482 nucleotides long. RefSeq lists it as uncharacterized. The record is from RefSeq and is a predicted model, not a curated record. NCBI's taxonomy places the organism in Eukaryota, Metazoa, Chordata, Actinopteri, Cichliformes, Cichlidae. The transcript has 3 exons.
UCUCAGUAUUAUUAGUUAUCACUUGCUGUUGUUUAUGGUAUCUAAUAGUUAUAUUUAUAUUUCAGAGCUAUGGCCCAGCAGCAUGACCAUUUCAACAAAGAUGUUAUACUACUUCCAGCUCCAUCAUAGGGAGUAGUGUGCAAACAAGGUUCAAAAUUAUGGUUACACAAACAUGGGCACAUCCUCAGUGCUUUUGAAUUCCAGAAGACCUGGGACAACCAAACUGUCGUGAAACACAUCAAGGAAAGCUUUGGUGAACGCAUUCCAGAGGAUGUCAGCCUCGAGUUUCUAAUGGCUUGUGGCAAUAAGCUGGUGUCUCCAAAGCUCCAAGAUGGUCAGGAGCUGAAUGGGAUGCUGAUCCUAAAGGUUUUUAAAACCAAAGCCCUCUAUGUAAGGCCAUCAAGGACACUUUUAAGUGAAUCAGAUGAAGACAAAGAUCCUUCUUACAUCAGCUCCAAAUCAGCAUUAAGCAGUUGUGCAAC